UGGGCAAGAAGCAGGCACCACAUCCGGGAAGAAGUUUGUGCUCAAGGUGGCGGCGGGCAAGAAGCAGCAGAAUUGGUGAGACUUGAGAGGCUAGGGUUUGUCUUGUUCCAGUGAACUGCAGGCUUGAUGUGCAUAUAUGUGACUAUUUUCUUAUGAUGAACUUGAAGAUGGUGGUUAAGGUAUUCAUGGUGGAGGGAAAGGUUGAUGUUGGUCUUGGUCCUAUCUAGGCGCAUGGGAGUAAGCUCGAGCUGCAGACGAGCUCAGACUCUAUAGGAGGAGCAUGUUCCGCUGCGCCUCUCCCACCUCCUCGGCGCACAAGGGGAUGGCCAGCGCCGCGCAGCAGCAGGGUGUUGAUCACAAGAUAGUAAAUGAUUUCUCUAUUAGUAGAGGUCUGAAGGUUCGAGAAGGGACGAAAGAUGAAGAAUUUGCCUGAAGAAAAUAUUGAACAAAAAGCUCCAGAUGGCUUCCUAGGGGUGAUGC
Non-coding RNA from Triticum urartu, 480 nucleotides. The record is from RefSeq and is a predicted model, not a curated record. Lineage: Eukaryota; Viridiplantae; Streptophyta; Magnoliopsida; Poales; Poaceae.